Molecule: RNA transcript, 2083 nt
Organism: Falco peregrinus (peregrine falcon)
Lineage: Eukaryota; Metazoa; Chordata; Aves; Falconiformes; Falconidae
Gene: BBIP1
Gene name: BBSome interacting protein 1
Exons: 4
Source: RefSeq, a predicted model, not a curated record
CCUAUGCCGUAGCAAGCAUCUCUAUCUUAAAACCACUAAAGCCAUUGCCACCACCCUAGGUGAGCAGGAUUACGAGCCGGAACCGUCGAUCCCCACGCGAAGGCCAAGGCAGACAACCUGUGUGGGGCACGCUGACAAGCUCAUUAGCAAAAUCUAAAAUUACGCGUCCGGGAUCGGGGCGGUGCUGGGGCAUCGCGCAGGCACAGGGACACCCGCUGUGCCGUCCCCACCGAGCCGGGUCGCGGCGCGGCUUCGCGGCGGGGGGCCCAGCGGGAAGCGGCUGGAGGAGCCGGCAGCGCCCGGGGGGGACCUCGGGGGCACCGCCUGGUCAGGUUUGGCGACAUUGAAGCCCUCAGCCUUUAGAAAGACACCGGCUUUACUGCUGUUUACAUUUUCAACAGCGCCAUGAUUCGCAUCGCGAACGCCGGCACGCUGCCUGAAAAACCGAAUGGGAACGCGAACGCCCUGGCCAAGCCCGACUGCGGGACGGUGCCUGCGCGGGGGGUGUUGGUGGCUGAAACGCAAAAAAGCCGCAAAGCCUGAGUCCGGCGGGGCGGACGGCCGCGGCAGGCAGCGGCGCACGGCGGCCCCGCGCAGGGGAACGGCGCCGCCCCACCGCAGCGGGAAGCCGGGAGCAGCCGCUGGGGCCCGGGCCCGGGCCGGAUCUGCGCGCCCCCACCGCAGCGAGCCCGGGCCGCGGCCGCCCCGCCGAGCGCCCGGCUGCCCGCUGCCCACGCAGGACGCAGCCGCGCCCGGCCCGGCGGCGGCUGGCGGGGAACCGGCUGGCAGGGAGCCCCGAUCCCGCCCCGGCGCAGCCACCGCGGUUCCCGGCGCGCCCCGCGGCACGCCGUGGCCUGCAGCUCCCGGCACGGCUGUGGGCCGCCAGCCUCCCGGCGGACUACAGCUCCCGUCAUGCAGUGUGGCAGCGGGGCCCGCACACCGCCGGUGCCGCCGCGCAGUGCAGGCCGGGAGCGGUAGUUUUGUCGGCGGGAGACGCGCCCUCCUCCUCAGCGAGGGGUCGCCGGUGCGGGCGGUGCCAGCGCUCACUGCCGCGCCGGAGCCGCCAUGCCGGAGGGGAAGGCAGCGUUCCGGGAGGUGCUACCCAAGCAAGGGCAGCUGUCGGUGGAGGACACGGCCGGCAUGGUGCUGUGCAAGCCCAAGGUGCUGCCCCUCAAGUCGGUGUCGCUGGAGAAGCUGGAGAAGCUGCAGCGGGCGGCGCUCGAGGCGGCGCGGCCGGAGGGGGCAGCGCCGCAGCCACAGCCCUAGCCGGUCCCGGGAGGGGCGGGGGCCCGGACCCGCAGCCCGGAGCAGGUGACAGAACCUCGGCCGGGCCCUUUCGGACAGCGGGGGGCGGCGAGUGACACCCCCCCACCGGCCCCAGUAACGGCUUACCAGGCUCUCUCGAGUGCUGCGGCGCUCCUCUCCCGGAGCACAGCGUGUUCCCGGCCCUGUCACGGCUAUUCCCAGCAUUGCUAAACACCUGAAAUCUUAACAUGAAACCGAGAAACACAAGGGAGCAGGAGAGGCUCCGCCGCGCUGCUUAAGAGAGUCUUAGAUCCGCCUUGUUGUUGAGAAAGGGCUUGCCAAAGCUGCUCUGCAUAGACAGCGUUCAAGACACCUCGGUGGCAGCCUGGAUGCUCCUACGCAAGCCACUUGUUUUUCAAAAACAUAUUUGGGUUUUUUUCCCCCACUGUAGCUGAGUUUUUCACUGUCGCCUACACGGAUCAUUGUGACACCUGAAUCCUCCAUCUCAAUACUGUAGUGAUCUCUGCCAAGCAAACCAGCAAAACAGAGGAGUGGCAGGCCUUCGUCCUCCGGAGAGCAUACAGGCAAUGCUGCCUGCGACUCACUGGAGGCUUAUUUUCCUCAAUAAUUUAUUCCAUCCUCCACAUAACAGGUUUCACAUCACUGCAGCUUCUUAAUAAACUUUUUACCAUUCCAACCCUCUGCUUCUCCAUCCUCCGUAGUUUCCAGUUCUAAUCUGUAAUACCUCGGUCAUAACAUCCUGCUUUCUGUAACUUACAAUUGGGACAAAAAGCAGUGCCCUCACCUAUCUACAAUAAAACAAGUACCUUGAAGGACA